Molecule: long non-coding RNA, 1965 nt
Filed under: Triticum aestivum (bread wheat)
Lineage: Eukaryota; Viridiplantae; Streptophyta; Magnoliopsida; Poales; Poaceae
Description: long non-coding RNA (TAES_LNC012247)
Source: RNAcentral
UUCAUCCAAGACUAGGCUUGACCAGCGGGUGGGAAGCGACUAGAGAAUAUGACGUCUUUACUCAACUAUUUGUAGAUGUCAAGGAAUUUGUAUAGUAAAUAUAUUAGCUUUUGUGAUCCACUUCUGGUUUAUGCCUGCUUUAUCAUGCCUUGUGUGACUAUAGGCCUCUGGUCUAUAGGCGCGCGGCGGCUGUCUCGCCUAGGCCCGGUCUCGGGGCGUGACUUGCUUCCUCCGUUUUUUUAGAUGCGAACGAGGUAACUUAAGUAUGUUCAACUUAAGUAUGUUCAGAAGAUGUCUUCAUCCAAGACUAGGCUUGACCAGCGGGUGGGAAGCGACUAGAGAAUAUGAUGUCUUUACUCAACUAUUUGUAGAUGUCAAGGAAUUUGUAUAGUAAAUAUAUUAGCUUUUGUGAUCCACUUCUGGUUUAUGCCUUCUUUAUCAUGCCUUGCGUGACUAUAGUCCUCCUUGUCUAUAGGCGCGCGGCGGCUGUCUCGCCUAGGCCCGGUCUCGGGGCGUGACAGUUAAGGCGUGAUUAAUUAAGCAUUAACCAUCAGUGGAUCACAAAAGCUCAUAUAUAUUGACGACAGAAAUUUCUUUACAUAUACAAAUAGACAAAAUACAUUAAAAUCUCUAGUCGUUUCCCACCCACUGGUCGAGCCUAUUCUUGGAUGACAUCUUCUGGGCAUACUUAAGUUACACCGACUGCAUCUAAGAAAUAGAGAAGACAAGGGUGAGUACGAUAAAUCAUACUCAGCAAGCAAAUACUUCACUAUUCAAUAAGGAGCAAUGGUAUGAUGGUGUAGAUCAACAGACGAACUGAAUUCAGAGGAUAACAAUGUAACAACCAUUGGAAUCAUAUUUUGAUGUAAAUGGACAAAAGAACAAAAUACCAGAUUUAGUAAAAACAACAAGGAAUCUAUUGGCGUCACACAUGACCGCAAGCUUCCCAACCCGGGAGUCACAGGGUGAAAUUUCACACUUUUACGCUCUUAAGAGGGGUACUCCGACGUCGACAGCCUCGACUAGAACCACACAGGUUCCAGAAGAGCAGAGCUCUUUUACCCACUAAGUCCCGGACACCUGUACCUACUUAUGUCGGUCGCUCCUACGGAUCCAUCACCGACACGUUCCCGAACAAGAUCCGACCUUAACGGAGAGCCCAGACAGUCCCAUACCUAAACUGUGACCGGUACAAUACGUUUGCAGUCGUGACACCAAUAUAGAUGGAUGUGUGUUUGAAUCAACAUUAGGACCACUGAAGUAUCGGUCAAAGACAAUACACUCAUGGCUUUUCAUGAGUUCCUCCAAAAUACUCUGAUUCCAUCAACAAAUGGAUUAUGAGGAAAACACAUCCCUCUUUCAAGGAUCAAUAGAGGAUCAACAAAGAUCAAGGUGCAAUGAUAUUACCAGAUAAUCAAGCAAGACAACAAUAAGGAGAGAUCAGGGAGUUUAGCAAAGCAGCUACUUGCCUCAGAUAAUAUGAUUUCUCCUUUAGAAUAAUACUCUGCAAGAAGAUGAAACUCCAUCAUCUUUGUAUAAAAUCUGACGACCGCGCAUAUACUAAUAUUCUUCUGACGUAUGGCUUUGUUCUUCCCUCCAUCAGCAUCUACACGAUCUAUAUAUCUUCAAACAUGGACGCAUGCAUACUUGUAUUCUUCAUCUCUCUUCUCUUCGCUCUCUCCGCUGGUAUGCUCUAUUUCUCUCAUGCUCUCUCCUAGUAUCUUCUCUUCGCUCUAUUUCUCUCAUGCUCUCACUCUUGGUGAUGAGGAUGUGCAAAACGAGUAGCAGUAGCUAUUUAUAGAUGGUGAGCCCAGAGUGAACUCAGCCGAGCUGUUCUUGAAGCACACAAUCAUCUAGACUCUACCUAUUACGUGGCAUGCAUGCCUUGGUCUACGUGGAGAACCUGGUAAAAGAUCUAAGCCGCAAUGGCCUUUGACCCUUGCCCCUUGACCCUUCGAACUGCUG